CUUCUCUUUUAAGUUCAUCUGUCUGGUUUGAUACUGACGGUCAGGUGCUGAUUGUCCAAACGCAAUUCUUGUGCUUGUGUGAAACAGGAGUUGUGGAUGGACAUCACGCUCCUGUCUGGUCCUCACAUCUACAGGAUGGGCCAAGUAAAG
RNAcentral lists this microRNA precursor (150 nucleotides) under Danio rerio (zebrafish). RNAcentral describes it as "microRNA dre-mir-219 precursor (dre-mir-219-3)". Its record names the gene dre-mir-219-3. The stretch from base 41 to 115 matches the Rfam family "mir-219 microRNA precursor family". From Rfam's summary of the family: The hairpin precursors (represented here) are predicted based on base pairing and cross-species conservation -- their extents are not known. Lineage: Eukaryota; Metazoa; Chordata; Actinopteri; Cypriniformes; Danionidae. The record is from miRBase by way of RNAcentral.